This 73-nucleotide transfer RNA is filed under the name Stegodyphus mimosarum. It matches the Rfam family "tRNA". Rfam says of the family: Transfer RNA (tRNA) molecules are approximately 80 nucleotides in length. Their secondary structure includes four short double-helical elements and three loops (D, anti-codon, and T loops). Further hydrogen bonds mediate the characteristic L-shaped molecular structure. tRNAs have two regions of fundamental functional importance: the anti-codon, which is responsible for specific mRNA codon recognition, and the 3' end, to which the tRNAs corresponding amino acid is attached (by aminoacyl-tRNA synthetases). tRNAs cope with the degeneracy of the genetic code in two manners: having more than one tRNA (with a specific anti-codon) for a particular amino acid; and 'wobble' base-pairing, i.e. permitting non-standard base-pairing at the 3rd anti-codon position. The record is from Rfam by way of RNAcentral. Lineage: Eukaryota; Metazoa; Arthropoda; Arachnida; Araneae; Eresidae.
GCCUUCGUAGUGCAGUGGUCAGCGCGCUCGACCCGUAUUUGAGAAGUUUGAAGUUCGAGUCCCGGUGAGGGCA